GACGAACGCUGGCGGCGUGCCUAAUACAUGCAAGUCGAGCGGACCUUUCGGGGUCAGCGGCGGACGGGUGAGUAACACGUGGGCAAUCUGCCCGAUACUCUGGGAUAACGCUUGGAAACGAGUGCUAAUACCGGAUGGUCUUCUUGGCCGCAUGGCCGAGAAGGAAAAGACGCGUUCGCGUCGGUGUCGGAUGAGCCCGCGGCGCAUUAGCUAGUUGGUGAGGUAACGGCCCACCAAGGCGACGAUGCGUAGCCGACCUGAGAGGGUGAUCGGCCACACUGGAACUGAGACACGGUCCAGACUCCUACGGGAGGCAGCAGUAGGGAAUCUUCCGCAAUGGGCGAAAGCCUGACGGAGCAACGCCGCGUGAGUGAUGAAGGUCUUCGGAUCGUAAAACUCUGUUGUUAGGGAAGAACAAAUUUGUUAGUAACUGAACAAGUCUUGACGGUACCUAACCAGAAAGCCACGGCUAACUACGUGCCAGCCGCCGCAGUAACAC
RNAcentral lists this ribosomal RNA (499 nucleotides) under uncultured bacterium. Its description in RNAcentral is "bacterial SSU rRNA". It matches the Rfam family "Bacterial small subunit ribosomal RNA", at positions 28 to 526 of the family's 1533-position model. The record is from RNAcentral.